AGUGAACGCUGGCGGUAGACCUAACACAUGCAAGUCGAACGGCAGCACAGUAAGAGCUUGCUCUUACGGGUGGCGAGUGGCGGACGGGUGAGGAAUACAUCGGAAUCUACUUUUUCGUGGGGGAUAACGUAGGGAAACUUACGCUAAUACCGCAUACGACCUACGGGUGAAAGCAGGGGAUCUUCGGACCUUGCGCGAUUGAAUGAGCCGAUGUCGGAUUAGCUAGUUGGCGGGGUAAAGGCCCACCAAGGCGACGAUCCGUAGCUGGUCUGAGAGGAUGAUCAGCCACACUGGAACUGAGACACGGUCCAGACUCCUACGGGAGGCAGCAGUGGGGAAUAUUGGACAAAGGGCGCAAGCCUGAUCCAGCCAUACCGCGUGGGUGAAGAAGGCCUUCGGGUUGUAAAGCCCUUUUGUUGGGAAAGAAAAGCAGCAGGUUAAUACCCCGCUGUUCUGACGGUGCCCAAAGAAUAAGCACCGGCUAACUUCGUG
RNAcentral lists this ribosomal RNA (492 nucleotides) under uncultured bacterium. RNAcentral's name for it is "partial 16S ribosomal RNA". It matches the Rfam family "Bacterial small subunit ribosomal RNA", at positions 29 to 507 of the family's 1533-position model. The record is from RNAcentral.